CGGCCAACCGGGCAGCCCUUAAAUGCAAGUCGAACGGCAGCGCGAGAGAGCUUGCUCUCUUGGCGGCGAGUGGCGGACGGGUGAGUAAUAUAUCGGAACGUGCCCAGUAGCGGGGGAUAACUACUCGAAAGAGUGGCUAAUACCGCAUACGCCCUACGGGGGAAAGGGGGGGAUCGCAAGACCUCUCACUAUUGGAGCGGCCGAUAUCGGAUUAGCUAGUUGGUGGGGUAAAGGCUCACCAAGGCAACGAUCCGUAGCUGGUUUGAGAGGACGACCAGCCACACUGGGACUGAGACACGGCCCAGACUCCUACGGGAGGCAGCAGUGGGGAAUUUUGGACAAUGGGGGAAACCCUGAUCCAGCCAUCCCGCGUGUAUGAUGAAGGCCUUCGGGUUGUAAAGUACUUUUGGCAGAGAAGAAAAGGUAUCCCCUAAUACGGGAUACUGCUGACGGUAUCUGCAGAAUAAGCACCGGCUAACUACGUGCCAGCAGCCGCGGUAAUACGUAGGGUGCAAGCGUUAAUCGGAAUUACUGGGCGUAAAGCGUGUGAAAGGCGGUUCGGAAAUGAAAAGAUGUAGAAAAUCCCAGGGCUUCAACCUUGGAACUGCAUUUUUAACUGCCGAGCUAGAGUUAUGUCAGGAGGGGGGUAGAAUUCCACGUGUAGCAGUGAAAUGCGAAGAUAAUGUGGAAGGAAUACCUGAUGGCGAAGGGCAGCCCCCCGGGAUAAUACUGACGCUCAGACACGAAAGCGUGGGGAGCAAAUCAGGGAUUAGAUACCCUGAUAGUCCCACGCCCUAAACGAUGUCAAAUAGCUGUUGGGGCCGUUAGGCCUUUAGUAGCGCAGCUAACGCGUGAAGUUGACCGCCCGGGGAGUACGGUCGCAAGAUUAAAACUCAAAAGGAAUUUGACGGGGACCCGCACAAGCGGUGGAAUGAUGUGGAUUAAUUCGAUGCAACGCGAAAAACCUUACCUACCCUUGACAUGUCUAGAAAGCCGAAAAGAUUUGGCCGUGCUCGCAAGAGAACCGGAACACAGGUGCUGCAUGGUCUGCUGUCAGCUCGUGUCAUGAGAUAUUGGGUUAAGUCCCGCAACGAGCGCAACCCUUGUCAUUAGUUGGUUCGCAAGAGCACUUUAAUGAGACUGCCGGUGACAAACCGGAGGAAGGUGGGGAUGACGUCAAGUCCUCAUGGCCCUUAUGGGUAGGGCUUCACACGUCAUACAAUGGUCGGGACAGAGGGUCGCCAACCCGCGAGGGGGAGCCAAUUUCAGAAACCCGAUCGUAGUCCGGAUCGCAGUUUGCAACUCGACUGCGUGAAGUUGGAAUCGCUAGUAAUCGCGGAUCAGAAUGUCGCGGUGAAUACGUUCCCGGGUCUUGUACACACCCCCCGUCACACCAUGGGAGUGGGUUUCACCAGAAGUAGGUAGCCUAACCGCAAGGAGGGCGCUUAAGCAAUGUUGAUAUCUGGGGCGC
Molecule: ribosomal RNA, 1471 nt
Filed under: Alcaligenes faecalis
Lineage: Bacteria; Pseudomonadati; Pseudomonadota; Betaproteobacteria; Burkholderiales; Alcaligenaceae
Description: bacterial SSU rRNA
Rfam family: Bacterial small subunit ribosomal RNA
Source: RNAcentral